AUGCAGGCUCUACAAGAAGAAUCUCGCCAAGGUGCACAACUACAGAAAGAUGACUGCGUCGCCAGCGCUCCGCGGCAACCAGAUCCGCAAGAAACACACCCAUCACCGGAAGGAGGACGCUCCGACAACUCGAGUCGCGCUACACGGCGCCGCAAUUCAUCAGAGCCAGCCGUCUCUUCUUCCCCAUCCACCCGCACCCAGGAGGCAAGCUCGCCGCCAUGGCCGCCGGCAAAUCGAUGCGCCUCAUCUGAUUCGUAUGUGGAUCGCCGGCGCGGGAUGCACCCUUCUCCAUGGCCGCUCGCAGCCACGGGCGCACUCGUCGCCUUGUCUGCCUCCGCCAGCAGUUGGAUGCAUGCCCUCUCCAUGGCCGCCGCAGCCAGGGUGCGCCCAUCGCCAUGGCCAAGCUGCAACCUACCACGGUGGCGGCGAGUUCGUGCUGGAACCAGCUGGUGUAUAUGCUACAAGGUCGAUGCCUCGCCGGAGGAAGCUUCAUCCAGCGGUGAAGAUUGCUGCAUCCAAUGCCGUUUGAUGUCGGGAGCUGCAACCGUGCACGUCGGAGCUGCAACCGGCUACUGGGGGAGCUGCAAGAGGGGUGGCCAUUUGUGCGAAUGCGUUUUCUUUUUGCCGAACCAAUUUUUUGUUUUUGCUGGAACGAUGUAUUUUUUUUGCUGGAACCAAGAUAAUUUUGUGCUUCAACGAUUGCAGAGCUCUCAAAUGCUCAUGUCGUUUUUGUUCGAAGCUUUUUUAUUUUGCUUCAACCUACCACCAGACUUUGAUCCGUGGCAAAGAUUUUUGCUGCUUCUGAGUUUUUUUGCUAGGCACUCUGACCCGUGGCGAGCCGCUUCAAUUUUUGUUUCCACCUUGUUCUGUUUUUGUUGGAUCUAG
Molecule: ribosomal RNA, 885 nt
Filed under: Triticum aestivum (bread wheat)
Lineage: Eukaryota; Viridiplantae; Streptophyta; Magnoliopsida; Poales; Poaceae
Description: partial small subunit ribosomal RNA
Source: RNAcentral